Molecule: ribosomal RNA, 259 nt
Filed under: uncultured bacterium
Lineage: Bacteria
Description: partial 16S ribosomal RNA
Rfam family: Bacterial small subunit ribosomal RNA
Source: RNAcentral
CGUGCCUACGGGAGGCAGCAGUAGGGAAUCUUCCACAAUGGACGAAAGUCUGAUGGAGCAACGCCGCGUGAGUGAAGAAGGGUUUCGGCUCGUAAAGCUCUGUUGGUAGUGAAGAAAGAUAGAGGUAGUAACUGGCCUUUAUUUGACGGUAAUUACUUAGAAAGUCACGGCUAACUACGUGCCAGCAGCCGCGGUAAUACGUAGGUGGCAAGCGUUGUCCGGAUUUAUUGGGCGUAAAACGAGGGCAGGCGGGUUAAUA